RNAcentral lists this ribosomal RNA (460 nucleotides) under uncultured bacterium. RNAcentral describes it as "partial 16S ribosomal RNA". It matches the Rfam family "Bacterial small subunit ribosomal RNA", at positions 338 to 795 of the family's 1533-position model. The record is from RNAcentral.
CCUACGGGAGGCAGCAGUGAGGAAUAUUGGUCAAUGGACGAGAGUCUGAACCAGCCAAGUAGCGUGAAGGAUGACUGCCCUAUGGGUUGUAAACUUCUUUUAUAUGGGAAUAAAAUGUUCCACGUGUGGGAUUUUGUAUGUACCAUAUGAAUAAGGAUCGGCUAACUCCGUGCCAGCAGCCGCGGUAAUACGGAGGAUCCGAGCGUUAUCCGGAUUUAUUGGGUUUAAAGGGAGCGUAGGUGGAUUGUUAAGUCAGUUGUGAAAGUUUGCGGCUCAACCGUAAAAUUGCAGUUGAAACUGGCAGUCUUGAGUACGGUAGAGGUGGGCGGAAUUCGUGGUGUAGCGGUGAAAUGCUUAGAUAUCACGAAGAACUCCGAUUGCGAAGGCAGUUCACUAGACUGCAACUGACACUGAGGCUCGAAAGUGUGGGUAUCAAACAGGAUUAGAUACCCCUGUAGUC